This 370-nucleotide ribosomal RNA is filed under the name uncultured organism. Its description in RNAcentral is "partial 16S ribosomal RNA". It matches the Rfam family "Bacterial small subunit ribosomal RNA", at positions 527 to 896 of the family's 1533-position model. The record is from RNAcentral.
GUAGGGUGCAAGCGUUAAUCGGAAUUACUGGGCGUAAAGCGUGCGCAGGCGGUUUUGUAAGUCUGACGUGAAAUCCCCGGGCUCAACCUGGGAAUUGCGUUGGAGACUGCAAGGCUGGAGUCUGGCAGAGGGGGGUAGGAUUCCACGUGUAGCAGUGAAAUGCGUAGAGAUGUGGAGGAACACCGAUGGCGAAGGCAGCCCCCUGGGUCAAGACUGACGCUCAUGCACGAAAGCGUGGGGGGAGCAAACAGGAUUAGAUACCCUGGUAGUCCACGCCCUAAACGAUGUCUACUAGUUGUCGGGUCUUAAUUGACUUGGUAACGCAGCUAACGCGUGAAGUAGACCGCCUGGGAGUACGGUCGCAAGAUUA